AUUCCAAAACAUAGCUUAUUGAUUUUUUAUAAUAAGUUUUUUCUGCCCGGUGGUGUUUUUAACGGCCGCGGUAUUUUGACCGUGCAAAGGUAGCAUAAUCACUUGUUCUUUAAUUGGGGACUGGAAUGAAAGAACGAUCUGAGACCAAGUCUGUCUCUUUUUUAGGUUAAAAUUUGCUGUUUUUGUGAAGAAGCAAAAAUAAAUAAAAAAGACAAGAAGACCCUAUUAAGCUAUUAUUCUUUUCUUUUUUUAAUUUCUUUAUAAGUAUAGCUAAAAAUAAGUUUGAGAAGAUUUAGUUGGGGCGACUAAAAAGGAUAAAUUUAUCCUCUUUUUUUUGUUUAACGUUAAGUUUUAGUUGGGUCCAAAAUUUUUUGGUUGAAAGAAUUAGUUACUAUAGGGAUAACAGCGUAAUUUUUUCAUAAAGUUCUUAUUGAAGAAAAAAGUUUGCGACCUCGAUGUUGACUUGUUAUCUCCUUCUAAGGUGCAGUAGCUGUAAGGGUUAGUCUGUUCGACUAUUAAAAUAACACGUGAUCUGAGUUCAGACCGGA
Molecule: ribosomal RNA, 548 nt
Filed under: Maculaura alaskensis
Lineage: Eukaryota; Metazoa; Nemertea; Pilidiophora; Heteronemertea; Lineidae
Description: partial 16S ribosomal RNA
Rfam family: Bacterial large subunit ribosomal RNA
Source: RNAcentral